AAACUCACCAGGUCCAGACAUAAGAAGGAUUGACAGAUUGAUAGCGCUUUCAUGAUUUUAUGGGUGGUGGUGCAUGGCCGUUCUUAGUUGGUGGAGUGAUUUGUCUGGUUAAUUCCGAUAACGAACGAGACCUUGACCUGCUAAAUAGACCAGUCGACCUUGUUGUUGGCUGCUGUCUUCUUAGAGGGACUAUCGAUGUCUAAUCGAUGGAAGUUCGAGGCAAUAACAGGUCUGUGAUGCCCUUAGAUGUUCUGGGCCGCACGCGCGCUACACUGACGAAGCCAGCGAGUUAUUAUCCUUGCCUGGAAAGGCCGGGUAACCUUGUGAAACUUCGUCGUGCUGGGGAUAGAGCAUUGUAAUUAUUGCUCUUCAACGAGGAAUUCCUAGUAAGCGCAAGUCAUCAGCUUGCGUUGAUUACGUCCCUGCCCUUUGUACACACCGCCCGUCGCUACUACCGAUUGAAUGGCUUAGUGAGCCCUUGGGAUCAGCAUUAAGGAGCCGGCAACGGCACCUUUAUGUAGAGAACUUGUGCAAACUUGGUCAUUUAGAGGAAGUAAAA
This 559-nucleotide ribosomal RNA is filed under the name Melanotaenium euphorbiae. RNAcentral describes it as "SSU rRNA". It matches the Rfam family "Eukaryotic small subunit ribosomal RNA", at positions 1211 to 1787 of the family's 1831-position model. Lineage: Eukaryota; Fungi; Basidiomycota; Ustilaginomycetes; Ustilaginales; Melanotaeniaceae. The record is from RNAcentral.